GGACUUCAUGAGCACCUUGUGCUUCCUACAGCAUUUGUUUUGCUGAAGUCAAAUGUGUUGCUCCUGUCUUCUGGCAUCAGGAUUGACGAAGAGCUGGCCAGGAGGACUUAUCAUACCCCUCCCCUUUAUUCUUAAUCAUCAUGGGGACCACACAGUUAAUUCUGCCUAGAUGUGCCAGGAGCCUCUGGAGCUCGGAGCAGAUUAUAUCUCAACACCGAGUUGCCUUUUGAAGAUGUACUUGUUACUUUUAAUCAGAUAGUAGCAGCAAUAAAUUCAAAGACUCAGGAAA
Molecule: long non-coding RNA, 289 nt
Organism: Columba livia (rock pigeon)
Lineage: Eukaryota; Metazoa; Chordata; Aves; Columbiformes; Columbidae
Exons: 2
Source: RefSeq, a predicted model, not a curated record